UAUAAUGCAGUCGAGCGGACAGAUGGGAGCUUGCUCCCUGAUGUUAGCGGCGGACGGGUGAGUAACACGUGGGUAACCUGCCUGUAAGACUGGGAUAACUCCGGGAAACCGGGGCUAAUACCGGAUGGUUGUUUGAACCGCAUGGUUCAGACAUAAAAGGUGGCUUCGGCUACCACUUACAGAUGGACCCGCGGCGCAUUAGCUAGUUGGUGAGGUAACGGCUCACCAAGGCGACGAUGCGUAGCCGACCUGAGAGGGUGAUCGGCCACACUGGGACUGAGACACGGCCCAGACUCCUACGGGAGGCAGCAGUAGGGAAUCUUCCGCAAUGGACGAAAGUCUGACGGAGCAACGCCGCGUGAGUGAUGAAGGUUUUCGGAUCGUAAAGCUCUGUUGUUAGGGAAGAACAAGUGCCGUUCAAAUAGGGCGGCACCUUGACGGUACCUAACCAGAAAGCCACGGCUAACUACGUGCCAGCAGCCGCGGUAAUACGUAGGUGGCAAGCGUUGUCCGGAAUUAUUGGGCGUAAAGGGCUCGCAGGCGGUUUCUUAAGUCUGAUGUGAAAGCCCCCGGCUCAACCGGGGAGGGUCAUUGGAAACUGGGGAACUUGAGUGCAGAAGAGGAGAGUGGAAUUCCACGUGUAGCGGUGAAAUGCGUAGAGAUGUGGAGGAACACCAGUGGCGAAGGCGACUCUCUGGUCUGUAACUGACGCUGAGGAG
This 719-nucleotide ribosomal RNA is filed under the name Bacillus siamensis. Its description in RNAcentral is "bacterial SSU rRNA". It matches the Rfam family "Bacterial small subunit ribosomal RNA", at positions 52 to 753 of the family's 1533-position model. The record is from RNAcentral. Lineage: Bacteria; Bacillati; Bacillota; Bacilli; Caryophanales; Bacillaceae.